CAACUCUCCAGAACAAUCCAGUGUAUUCCACAACUCACCUAAGACCUGACCAUCCAAGGAAAUAGCCGCCGUAAGAACCAUCGACCGACAAGAUUGGGGAUCUGUCACGGUGGCCGAUGCCGGCGCCAUCCACCCCAGCACCUCUCGUCCCACCGCCCACCACCACCACCACGAGCACCUCCUGCUCGCCGUCUCCUCCUCCCCUUACCCGUCUGCUCCGAAGCCGACCUCGGCAAGCAUGCCGUUGUUGCUGUCCACCGACGACUCUCCUGCCUCCUCUGCGGCUGCCGGCCGAAGUCCCUCCGCCUACUAUCACCAUCACCCCGUCCUCCUCGCCAUCCCCUUCACACCCCAUCUCCCGCGAUGGCACCCCUCGCAUGUAUGCCGUCGGUUGCGUCCAUGGCUCCAACACCCCUCGUUCCUCCUCCCUUUCUUGCUACAGCAGGCUCACCACCACACCCCACACCUCUCCCUCAUCUCCUCCACCCUCUCCCUCAUCUCCUCCGAUGCUAACCUCCACAGUUACGGUGGAUGCGCCUUGCUCAUCCUCGGCGACUGUGCUGCCACCAUCUGCUGAUUUCCCCUCUCCACAGAUGCGCUCCAUGGCAUAUUCUAUUGUGAUGGUUGACAUGGAGGUGCUCUGCUUGGCUACUGCCUACCCUUCCCACAGCUCAUUUUGCCCACCCAUGGCGCCUCUCAAAUUAGAUGGGACUUACUCUGCUCGAAUUACAUCCCAAGAAGUGUGUCACAUGCUCUCACAUCUUUAGAGCCGCAUUGCCUUCUGAUCUACUUCAUCAAGGACCAAGCUAUUAGAAAUCAGGAACUUCUAAUGUCCGGAACAUUUCUCUACUACACUGCUACUUCAAAAAGAUUAAUAGCCUAAAGAUUUGUUUCGGUGUCAGUUGCUGCUUUCAUGGCCCUUGAAGAAGAACAAGUCCUAACCUUGUUAGUUGCCACCUACUGUUGUUUCCCCUUUCGUGCCGGCGCGCUGACGGCCAGUUAUGGUGCUAUGCCCGGCUACCGCUUGUCCUUUCAAAACCUCACUGUGCCCACCCUUGUUGCCUACCAAAUUCAAUUUUUCUAUGAUCCAAAUCCGCGCGCCUAUGUCGAACUGUCUAGAAACCACUCUUGCAGCCCAUUAUAAAUCAAGUGAGCAGGCAAAUGGGACUCAUGCUGCUCAAACCACAUCCAAAGAAGCAACACGCUCAACACGCUCUGGUCAUGCUCUUUGCCAAGGACCAAGGUCCAAAAGAUAUUUGAUAAGCUUAGGAGUUUCCUGGAGAAACCCUUUGAUUUAGGAGUGAUGCUGAAGAACUGCAGGGUCAAGAAAGCAGCGGGUCUAUGCCCCAAAUGUUACAGCCCUCGUGCCAACAAAGUGCUAAAGGAAAACAAAAAGUUUGUAUCAUGUACCUUAAUGCUUGGUAAAACCAUCUGCUUGCAUAUCCUGUUGGAUUUCAAACUGACCAAAUGGAGCAUAUUAGUGUUGUUGGAUUUCAAACAUCUGCUUGCAUAUCCUGUAAACAUUCCAGCACCUUGCAUCAUACAGAACUAGCCUAAGGUGAUAUGCUUGAUCUUCUAUGCCUAUUAGUGUUGUAAAGAAGGUGUUUAUCACCAAGGAAGUUAAUUAUAAUAAGCAUCAGUAUAGAAACAAAUUUAUGAUGACUGAAAUAUUAUGCUAUAAAUAGCUAGAAGAUCUAGAUCAAGCACAGAGUUCCUGGCUGGAAAAUAUAUACUAUUUUUUAUGUUUUCCUCAAGUACCAGGCAGUGGCUUUGGUUUUCAUCUUGAUACAGUCAAAUCUUGCUUUAUAUAGUGUAAGAGGGUGAAAGUUUUGUUCAAAUAAUUAGUAUAUAUACUCACACAAUGAAUGCCCUCCAGCAGCAUUGUCUCUAGUGCCUUGCUAUACGUUGAGCAUUUUUUUGUAAUACUUAACAUAAUCCAAGACACAUAUCAAAUAAAGGGGGAAAUCGUGCCUAUAUUUUUGUUGUAUAUACCAAUAUAUAUGUGACUAUGUUUGAGACUUUAAAACACGGUUAUUGAUAAUUUUGUUAUUAAGCAGUGCUUGCAAGAGGUGAAAAAUCAAAGAGAUCACACCCCAUUGGUAGAGGUGAGUGGACUGGAGGUGUGCGGUGCACUGAGAGGGCGUAAAGCCAGACUGAUUUUCUAUGCUUCAAAAGCUGUUAUGUAGCUAAGUUAAAUACUUUGCUUUUUACAGUGGAGAUACUCUGUUAUGUGGUAGGGGGGAUAUCUUGUUACUUCUGUCCUGUUCUUGUACAUUUAAGCUUAAUAACAAUUGAUUAAGUACAGUGUUGAUUUUCCAUGACGUGAAGUUCUUGAUGGCGUGUUUCACGUGUCGAGGCUUAUAUGCUUCAUGAGAUGAUUGGUUUUAAGAAUAUUUCAUCGAAAAAAUGAUAUCUCGAGAAAGAUGAGAGAUAAGGUGAGGAGGCGAGAGAGGUGCCGGUAUCCUUUUGUAAAAUUGUCAUAGUUUACUUUACACCAUCAUCACCAACUUGGUUUUUCUAUAAGAGAAGAGUAGAGAUAGAGAAAGUAACGUUCAUAUGCUAACAUUCAUUGUAAUACAGUGAACAAUAAAGACUGUUAUGUAUGUAGUAGUGAUUGUUUGAUGUAUACAAUAUUUACUCUCCCUAUCAAUGGAAUCAACAGCUUUUCCUUUGCGUUUAAGCAAAAUUUGUUUUGGAGCUCAGGUCUUGCAUGUUUUAGAUAUUUACAUUCUAUGAAUAAACUUCUG
This 2747-nucleotide ribosomal RNA is filed under the name Triticum aestivum (bread wheat). RNAcentral's name for it is "partial small subunit ribosomal RNA". Lineage: Eukaryota; Viridiplantae; Streptophyta; Magnoliopsida; Poales; Poaceae. The record is from RNAcentral.